AGAGUUUGAUCCUGGCUCAGGAUGAACGCUAGCUACAGGCUUAACACAUGCAAGUCGAGGGGCAGCAUGUUGGUUUGCUUGCAACCAAUGAUGGCGACCGGCGCACGGGUGAGUAACGCGUAUCCAACCUACCCUUGUCCAUCGGAUAACCCGUCGAAAGGCGGCCUAACACGAUAUGCGGUUCUCAGCAGGCAUCUAACGAGAACGAAAUGUGAAGGAGAAGGAUGGGGAUGCGUCUGAUUAGCGUUGUUGGCGGGGUAACGGCCCACAAGGCGACGAUCAGUAGGGGUUCUGGAGAGGAAGGUCCCCCANAUUGGAACUGAGACACGGUCCAAACUCCUACGGGAGGCA
RNAcentral lists this ribosomal RNA (351 nucleotides) under uncultured bacterium. Its description in RNAcentral is "bacterial SSU rRNA". It matches the Rfam family "Bacterial small subunit ribosomal RNA", at positions 8 to 350 of the family's 1533-position model. The record is from RNAcentral.